Molecule: long non-coding RNA, 224 nt
Organism: Helianthus annuus (common sunflower)
Lineage: Eukaryota; Viridiplantae; Streptophyta; Magnoliopsida; Asterales; Asteraceae
Exons: 2
Source: RefSeq, a predicted model, not a curated record
GGGUCGAAGAAAGGAAGGGAUCAAACCAAGCAAAGGCAAUAGGAGCGCACGACUCCGGUAAAUCCCGCUCUUGGCGAUGCGAGCUCGGACCGAACACACUACAUAGCCCUUUAUGCGCUUCCGGUUAAAGUCGUCUUUUGUAAAUGGGUCAAAACGUUUUCAUAAUGUAAAUAUUAAAUUUAUGUCUAGGAUGUUUCCUAAGUAAGUUUGGAUUUUAAAUCUUG